UUACUGGCAAGGUUAAGCACUUCAGGUGCGGAGCCGUAGGGAAACCAAGUCUUAAGAGGGCCAGAGUCAGUAGGAGUAGACCCGAAACCGGGUGAUCUAUCCAUGUCCAGGUUGAAGCUGCCGUAAGAGGUAGUGGAGGACCGAACCCACAUCCGUUGAAAAGGGUGGGGAUGAGGUGUGGAUAGGGGAGAAAUUCCAAUCGAACCCGGAGAUAGCUGGUUCUCCUCGAAAUAGCUUUAGGGCUAGCCUCAUGAGAGUCUUUUGGAGGUAGAGCACUGAAUUCCCGCGGGGGCGUCAAAGCUUACCAAAGGAUAUCAAACUCCGAAUGCCAGUAAGAUGAUUCAUGGGAGUCAGACUGCACGAGAUAAGUUGGGCAGUCAAAAGGGAAAGAGCCCAGACCUGCAGCUAAGGUCCCAAAAUGUGUGUUAAGUGGAAAAGGAUGUGGGAUUUCAAAGACAACCAGGAUGUUGGCUUAGAAGCAGCCAUACAUUAAAAGAGUGCGUAAUAGCUCACUGGUCGAGAGGUCCUGCGCCGAAAAUGUCCGGGGCUGAAACACACUACCGAAGCUCAGGAAUUAACGUAGUUAAUUGGUAGAGGAGCAUUCUUAAAGGGAAGAAGCAGUACCGGAAGGAGCUGUGGACUUUUAAGAAGAGAGAAUGCCGGAAUGAGUAGCGAGAGGAAGGUGAGAAUCCUUCCGGCCGAAUAUCCAAGGUUUCCAGAGUAAAGCUGAUCUGCUCUGGGUAAGUCGGGGCCUAAGGUGAGGUCGAAAGACGUAGCCGAUGGACAACAGGUUGAAAUUCCUGUACUGCAGUAUAACAGAACUGUGGGGACGCAGAGGGAGAGCACUAGCGGGAAUGGAAUCCCGUGGCAAGCGAGGUAGGAGUCGCGCUGGCAAAUCCGCGUGACAAUCCGAAGACGUGAUGCAUACCGAACUGAAGUAGGGAAAUGUGUGAGCCAGCUGCCAAGAAAAGCCGCUAUUGUUUGUACUGUACCCGUACCGUAAACCGACACAGGUAGGUGAGGAGAGAAUCCUAAGGCCGACGGGAGAAGCAUUGUUAAGGAACUCGGCAAAAUGACUCCGUAACUUCGGGAGAAGGAGUGCCAUGCGAAUGGCCGCAGAGAAUUGGCCCAAGCAACUGUUUAGCAAAAACACAGGUCUAUGCAAAACCGUAAGGUGAAGUAUAUGGGCUGACGCCUGCCCGGUGCUGGAAGGUUAAGGGGAGAGGUUAGCGCAAGCGAAGCUUUGAACUUAAGCCCCAGUAAACGGCGGCCGUAACAAUAACGGUCCUAAGGUAGCGAAAUUCCUUGUCGGGUAAGUUCCGACCCGCACGAAAGGCGUAAUGAUUUGGGCACUGUCUCAACAAUGCACCCGGUGAAAUUGAAAUACCAGUGAAGAUGCUGGUUACCUGCGCCAGGACGGAAAGACCCCAUGGAGCUUUACUCCAGCUUGAUACUGGGAUUCGAUAUUGCAUGUACAGGAUAGGUGGGAGACUAGGAGACGGUAACGCCAGUUGCCGUGGAGUCGAUGUUGGGAUACCACCCUUGCAGUAUUGGGUUUCUAACCAGCAGCCGUGAUCCGGCUGGGGGACAAUGUCAGGUGGGGAGUUUGACUGGGGCGGUCGCCUCCGAAAGGGUAUCGGAGGCGCUCAAAGGUUCCCUCAGAAUGGUUGGAAACCAUUCGAAGAGUGCAAAGGCAGAAGGGAGCUUGACUGCGACACCGACGGGUGGAGCAGGUACGAAAGUAGGACUUAGUGAUCCGGUGGUAUAA
This 1768-nucleotide ribosomal RNA is filed under the name human gut metagenome. Its description in RNAcentral is "bacterial LSU rRNA". It matches the Rfam family "Bacterial large subunit ribosomal RNA", at positions 634 to 2431 of the family's 2925-position model. The record is from RNAcentral.